AUUGAACGCUGGCGGCAGGCCUAACACAUGCAAGUCGAACGGUAACAGGAAGCAGCUUGCUGCUUUGCUGACGAGUGGCGGACGGGUGAGUAAUGUCUGGGAAACUGCCUGAUGGAGGGGGAUAACUACUGGAAACGGUAGCUAAUACCGCAUAACGUCGCAAGACCAAAGAGGGGGACCUUAGGGCCUCUUGCCAUCGGAUGUGCCCAGAUGGGAUUAGCUAGUAGGUGGGGUAACGGCUCACCUAGGCGACGAUCCCUAGCUGGUCUGAGAGGAUGACCAGCCACACUGGAACUGAGACACGGUCCAGACUCCUACGGGAGGCAGCAGUGGGGAAUAUUGCACAAUGGGCGCAAGCCUGAUGCAGCCAUGCCGCGUGUAUGAAGAAGGCCGUCGGGUUGUAAAGUACUUUCAGCGGGGAGGAAGGGAGUAAAGUUAAUACCUUUGCUCAUUGACGUUACCCGCAGAAGAAGCACCGGCUAACUCCG
Molecule: ribosomal RNA, 488 nt
Filed under: uncultured bacterium
Lineage: Bacteria
Description: partial 16S ribosomal RNA
Rfam family: Bacterial small subunit ribosomal RNA
Source: RNAcentral